CAGUAGAAUAAAAUUCAGAAAUUAUGGUUUAUAGUUUUGGUGUGCCACCCCAAGAUUUUAAGUGGCCCCAUCUGGCCACCCCUAUGAAAAAUUUCUGGAGGCGCCACUGCGCCCGUGGACCGCCAGAAAACAGUAUUAUAAACCAGCGGCUCGUCAGCGGACUGCUGUCGGAAAAGCGGUGGCUGCCGCUGGUGGUCCACUUGAAUAACGAUGAGCAAAACGCCAGUGAACCGCGGGUGGCGCCCGCCAGUGGCCCGCUGGUCUUAUGUUAGCUGGGGCAAUUAUAUCUGUGUGACGUCAUUUGCGCAGAUCUGCUAAAACUGAGAAAACCUCCUUUCGUUUCACAUUCAUGUCGGUCAAGGUAACCUUAGUUAAAAAACAAUAUAGCCUAUAUAUUAAUUUUACAAUUAUCAUUAAUAUUUUCACAUUUAAGCAGUGCUGUCUCAGAUUUGUCUUAGUGAGAGCGCGCGACACUGACGCACACUGAACGCGCACUCUCUCUCUCUCUCUCUCAGCGUGUGUGAUCGAGCGAGCGAGAGACAGAAGACUCACACAAGCCAAUGUAGCCUAUCCUUAUGAGAUGAUAAUAGUAAAAAUAAUAAUAAUUCUGCUUUUUAAUAACAAAUAAUUACAAUAAAAGUAAAAUAUGUAUGCAUGUGUAUACACCAGGGAAGAAAUAAAAGUCAUAUUCAAAUAUUUAUUCUUUUUUUCUUUCUUUUUUCAGAUUGUCAUCCGAUUGUUGUAAGUGAUCAGUCUAGCUGUCAUCCUGCAUCUUGGAUUUGUUCAGUUUGUACAGACAUACUCAAUAUCAGAUAAUGCAUGAUGCUUUUCUUUUUCUCCUUUUUGUUUCUGUGUCAGUAGCUGCUGCACCACAAAGGCUCCACAGCACUUGUCACAAGUCUUUGGCUUUAUCAUCUGAAAAGAGUUCACCUAUGCCAUUGAGCUGGAUGGAAAAACUGAGAAGUUUAUAAACAGAUGGCAUGGAAGAAGAGAGCAGGUCCUAAAACAAAGAAAUUCUUCUUAAGGUAUGCUCCAAAUUUACCAUUUACCAUUGAGUUCACUGAGAUCUGACUA
This is a long non-coding RNA of Onychostoma macrolepis, 1074 nucleotides long. RefSeq lists it as uncharacterized. Lineage: Eukaryota; Metazoa; Chordata; Actinopteri; Cypriniformes; Cyprinidae. The transcript is spliced from 3 exons. The record is from RefSeq and is a predicted model, not a curated record.